This 563-nucleotide ribosomal RNA is filed under the name uncultured Glomeromycotina. RNAcentral describes it as "SSU rRNA". It matches the Rfam family "Eukaryotic small subunit ribosomal RNA", at positions 548 to 1114 of the family's 1831-position model. The record is from RNAcentral. Lineage: Eukaryota; Fungi; Glomeromycota.
UUGGAGGGCAAGUCUGGUGCCAGCAGCCGCGGUAAUUCCAGCUCCAAUAGCGUAUAUUAAAGUUGUUGCAGUUAAAAAGCUCGUAGUUGAAUUUCGGGAUCAGAUUGUCGGUCGUGCCUCGGUACGCACUGGUAUUAUUGGUUCCUACCUUCUGAAGAACCGUGAUGUCAUUAAUUUGGUGUCGUGGGGAAUCAGGACUGUUACUUUGAAAAAAUUAGAGUGUUUAAAGCAGGCUUACGCUUGAAUACAUUAGCAUGGAAUAAUGAAAUAGGACGUUUGAUUCUAUUUUGUUGGUUUCUAGGAUUGACGUAAUGAUUAAUAGGGAUAGUUGGGGGCAUUAGUAUUCAAUUGUCAGAGGUGAAAUUCUAGGAUUUAUUGAAGACUAACUACUGCGAAAGCAUUUGCCAAGGAUGUUUUCAUUAAUCAAGAACGAAAGUUGGGGGAUCGAAGACGAUCAGAUACCGUCGUAGUCUUAACCAUAAACUACGCCGACUAGGGAUCGGAUGAUGUUAAUUUUUAAUGACUCAUUCGGCGCCUUACGGGAAACCAAAGUGUUUGGGUUC